This 403-nucleotide ribosomal RNA is filed under the name uncultured prokaryote. RNAcentral's name for it is "bacterial SSU rRNA". It matches the Rfam family "Bacterial small subunit ribosomal RNA", at positions 355 to 776 of the family's 1533-position model. The record is from RNAcentral. RNAcentral also lists the same sequence under 1 other name.
UGGGGAAUAUUGCGCAAUGGGGGCAACCCUGACGCAGCAACGCCGCGUGCGGGACGACGGCCCUCGGGUUGUAAACCGCUUUCAGCAGGGAAGACAUCGACGGUACCUGCAGAAGAAGCCCCGGCUAACUACGUGCCAGCAGCCGCGGUAACACGUAGGGGGCGAGCGUUAUCCGGAUUCAUUGGGCGUAAAGAGCGCGCAGGCGGGCGGCUAAGCGAGACCUCUAACCCCGGGGCUCAACCUCGGGCCGGGUCGCGGACUGGCCGCCUCGCGUCAGGUAGGGGUAGGCGGAAUUCCCGGUGUAGCGGUGGAAUGCGCAGAUAUCGGGAAGAACACCGACGGCGAAGGCAGCCUACUGGGCCUCGACGGACGCUGAGGCGCGAAAGCCGGGGGAGCGAACAGG